This is a long non-coding RNA of Acromyrmex echinatior (Panamanian leafcutter ant), 341 nucleotides long. The record is from RefSeq and is a predicted model, not a curated record. Lineage: Eukaryota; Metazoa; Arthropoda; Insecta; Hymenoptera; Formicidae.
UACGUGCGUGUGUGCGUGCGUGCGGGCGUCUGCGGACAGACAGAUGCGUGCGUACGCGACAAACGUGCGUGAUGUUAUGCGUUCGUUACGUCGAGGUUACGUCGAACUUCCCGAAUAUAUACUACAUAUUGCUCAUCGUUAGCCUGUGCUGUCAUUUGCCAAGGAAAAACGGUCACUGACCGGCGAAAGACUUAAGACCAUGAGUAAAAAUAAGAAUGGACCGCCGAAUUAAUUAAGAUAAAUACUUGCUGAUUGAAAUAAUUAAAGAAAAGAAAACAGUGUAAGAACUGCGUGCAAAAUGAUCGAAAUGAAAAUUGAGAUAAAUAAAAGUGAGAUAAAAA